CCCUUUGGGGUGUGACUGCGUACCUUUUGUAUAAUGGGUCAGCGACUUAUAUUCUGUAGCAAGGUUAACCGUAUAGGGGAGCCGCAGGGAAACCGAGUCUUAACCGGGCGUUAAGUUGCAGGGUAUAGACCCGAAACCCGGUGAUCUAGCCAUGGGCAGGUUGAAGGUUGGGUAACACUAACUGGAGGACCGAACCGACUAAUGUUGAAAAAUUAGCGGAUGACCUGUGGCUGGGGGUGAAAGGCCAAUCAAACCGGGAGAUAGCUGGUUCUCCCCGAAAGCUAUUUAGGUAGCGCCUCGUGAAUUCAUCUCCGGGGGUAGAGCACUGUUUCGGCUAGGGGGCCAUCCCGGCUUACCAACCCGAUGCAAACUGCGAAUACCGGAGAAUGUUAUCACGGGAGACACACGGCGGGUGCUAACGUCCGUCGUGAAGAGGGAAACAACCCAGACCGCCAGCUAAGGUCCCAAAGUCAUGGUUAAGUGGGAAACGAUGUGGGAAGGCCCAGACAGCCAGGAUGUUGGCUUAGAAGCAGCCAUCAUUUAAAGAAAGCGUAAUAGCUCACUGGUCGAGUCGGCCUGCGCGGAAGAUGUAACGGGGCUAAACCAUGCAC
RNAcentral lists this ribosomal RNA (611 nucleotides) under Salmonella enterica. RNAcentral describes it as "partial 23S ribosomal RNA". It matches the Rfam family "Bacterial large subunit ribosomal RNA", at positions 582 to 1194 of the family's 2925-position model. RNAcentral also lists the same sequence under 1 other name. Lineage: Bacteria; Pseudomonadati; Pseudomonadota; Gammaproteobacteria; Enterobacterales; Enterobacteriaceae. The record is from RNAcentral.